This 2559-nucleotide long non-coding RNA is filed under the name Homo sapiens (human). RNAcentral's name for it is "HSALNT0350519". The record is from RNAcentral. Lineage: Eukaryota; Metazoa; Chordata; Mammalia; Primates; Hominidae.
CCUUCGGCCCCGCCCAGCCCCGCCGGCCGCCCGCUCCCUGGGGAACCGAGGGAGGAAUGGGCGGGGUCCUCAGGUGCCCGGCGACGUCAUCCAGCCCCCAAGGCUCCAGGACGCAAAGGGUCCCCUGAUCUGGCAGUCCCUGGACCUACCCUGGAGAGCGUGGGGGGACAAAGGCCGGACGCGCCGCCCGCUGCCGCCUCCAGGAAGCCCUCCCUUGCCAGGACAGUGGAGUUGGCCGGGUGUGGACAGCAGGAAGGGCCGGCGGGAAGGGGGGGUGGAAAGAGCCACUCCUGGUUAAUAACUCUGCGGGGUUAACCUAGGGCCGGCCAUACUCAAGUACGGACUUGAGUAAAAUUCAGCAGGAAAAGGAGCAGGGUGGGCGCCGCUAGAGGGAGGCUUCAGGACUGAGGGUCAGAGGCCCAAGGCCUGGCAGGGCCCUUCCCUGGUCAGCUCCAGGCUUGGCCUGAUGCCCGGUGGGCCACGGGCCUCUUCCAGCCUCAGGCUGACCCCAGAGAAAGAGGACAGCCCACAAGCCCGGGAGGCCGGCUUGCUGCCUGGUCAUUGCUGCAGAGCCUGGAGGGGGCCUGCGCUCAGUCCCCGCUGACCGUCCCCUCCCUUGACCCUGCCAUAGCCAUCUGUGUAACCCAGGGGAAAUUAUUCCAAAGGGACUUCCACUUCUGAUAAUCUAUGAUUCUAUUUUCUAAAAAACAAAACUCUAAAAUGCUUAAUGUCAAACAUCUGUCAUCAGCUGAACAGGAAAAGGAACAGUCCUUCCAAAGUGCCUACGGAAAGCUUUGUCCCAUCCUUGAAAAAUUGCUAAUGGGUUUGGAGAUACGAGGUGGAGAUGACUAGCAAUCAAACUCAAAGGUGGAAGUCACAUCGAGGCAGAUGAGCAGAUGAGGGGACCUAGAGAAGAAGAGAGGUGCAAGGAGAGCCCAGCCAGCAGGAACAUCUGCCCCAGUAGGCAGCACUGCCCCACAUCAGAGUCGAGGAAAGCAAAGCUCGGAUUGGAUAAAAGAAACUUGCAAACACGGUCAGUGCUUACUGCAUGUGGGCUCAGAGCACGUUACCCUCCUUCCCUGCAUGUUCCUGUGAAACGGGUUUACUGCUCUAACUCUCAGGGACACUGUGAAGACCAAACGAGAAAAUAGAAACAAACAUAAUUUAUAAACCAUAAAGUACUGACACCAAAAGAGGGGCGAGCACAGCAUUGUGAAUGUGCUGGUACUAAAUGGUUUGUUUUAAGAUGAUUUUAUGGUGUGUGAAUUUCACUUGAAUAAAUUUUUUUAAUGGAGUUCAUGGGGACGCUGCAGGAUGUCAAUUAACUUUGGACAUUUUAGCAGCGCUUUAGGUGUUAAAAUUAUUUUUUAAAAAAUACAGGAUGAAGGGAAAAGCUUCAUGACAUUGGAUUUGGCAGUGAUUCCUUGGAUAUGACCCCAAAAGCACAGAUAACGAAAGAAAAAAUAGUUAAAUUGUCUUCAUCAAAAUUAAAACUUUUGUACAUCAAAGAACUCUUUCAAAAGAGUGAAAAAGUCACAGAAUAAGAGAAAAUCAUAUACCUGAUAAAGAAUUAAUAUUCAGAGCCAGAUGCAGUGGCUCAUGCCUGUAAUCCCAGCACUUUGGGAGGCCAAGGCAGGCAGAUCACUUGAGAUCAGGAGUUCGAGACAAGCCUGGCUAAAAUGGUGAAACCCCAGCUCUACUAAAAAUACAAAAAUUAGCCAGGCGUGGUGGCGUGCACCUGGAAUCCCAGCUAUUCGGGAGGCUGAGGCAGGAGAAUCGCUUGAACUCAGAAGGCAGAGGUUGCAGUGAGCCAAGAUCACACCACUGCACUCCAGCCUGGGCGACAAAGUGAGACUCCAUCUCAAAAAAACAAAACAAAACAAAACAAAACAAAGAGUUACUAUUCAGAAUAUAUUAAGAAUUCCUACAACUCAACAACAAAAAAAAAUCCAACCCAAUUAAAAAAUGGGCAACAGACCCAAAUAGACAUUUCUUAGAAGACACACAAAUGGCCAAUAAGCUCAUGAAAACAUGUUUAACAUCACUAAUCAUUAGGGAAAUGCAAAUCAAAGCUAAAAUGAGAUACCACGUCACACUCAUUAGGUGUUAUUUUUUAAAAAUAACACAACAACAAAAAAUAAGAAAUGUGGGCGAGGAUGUGAAGAAAUUGAAACCCUUGUGGACUGUUGUUGGGGAUGUAAAAUGGCGCAGCUGCUGGGGAAAACAGUAUGGGAGUUCCUCACAAAACUAAACAGAAUUGCCAAACGACCCAGCGAUCCUGCCUCUGACAUAUACUGGAAAGAACUGAAAUAAGGCGCUGGAACAGACACUUGUAACCCAUGUUCACAGCUGAGCCAAAAGGUGGGAGUAACCCAAAUGUCCAUCAGUGGAUGAAUACUGGCAAUAAAAGCUGUGUCUGGAGGCCACUCCGUUUCACACAGCUCUCCACACGGGUGAGGGCACAGCCUUCUCGUCUCUUUCCUAUGCUGCAUCUUCAGAGCUAGCUAUGAUAUGAUAUGAUGUGAUAUGUACAUAUCGAAUAUACAUGUUUUACAUGCA